Molecule: long non-coding RNA, 2089 nt
Organism: Oreochromis aureus
Lineage: Eukaryota; Metazoa; Chordata; Actinopteri; Cichliformes; Cichlidae
Source: Ensembl
CGGUAUCGGCAAGUACUCAGAUCCAAGUAUCGGUAUCGGAUCGGUUUGAAAAAAUUGGUAUCGUUGCAUCCCUACCUGAAAUCUAUCCAAUAAAGAAAGCAGAUGCCAUUUCAGUUGCUAAAUGUCUGUGUAAUCACUUCAUUCCAACCUAUGGCAUCCCAACUCUGAUAAGGUCAGACAAUGGGACCCAUUUUGUAAAUGAUGUAAUUAACAAAGUCUCAGAAGCACUAGGAUUUAAUAUCAAAAACCACUGUGCCAAUCAUCCACAAAGUGCAGGAUUAGUAGAAAGAACAAAUGGCACAAUCAAGCAGAGACUUAGGAAGUAUAUGGAAGAAACAGGAAGACCGUGGCCUGAAUGUGUAGGCCUGGUAAAAAUGUGGAUGAGAUUAACACAAGGAUCUCAGAAGCUCACACCAUUUGAGAUCAUCCAUGGUAGACCAUUUCCACUACCUAUAACGAGUGAACCUUUAACUAAAUCUUCUAGAGAAACCACAUUAGCAGAAUGGAUGGCUAAACUGCUAGAAAACAAAGAAAUCGUUCUGAAUAAUAAACUGCCAGAGGACUUUUCACCAGUGUCUUGCAGGUUGAAACCAGGUGAUUGGAUCCUAAUCAAGGUGCUCCAGAGGAAAAACUGGAGUUCACCCCGUUGGGAAGGACCAUACCAAGUGCUUCUAACCACUCCCACAGCAUGUAAGAUCGCGGAGCGACCAUCCUGGAUACAUCAAAGUCACUGCAAGAAAGUGAGUGAGAGCAUAGACUAACAGACGCCGAUUCCCCUACCUUCUGGUGAUCCAUAAAGUGGAGGAAGGGCCGAUUGGGUACACCCCGCCCUUUACUUCUUGCUUGUGGUCUACUUACCAGAGGAGCUAGGUGUAUCAGGUCAUCAUGAAGCUGCUUUUGAUCUCAUUGACAUUGGCAGCCCUGGUUGCAGGAUGUCUAAUACUGCUCAAGAAGAAAAAUGGACCUCGCAAGAAAAGAGCCUGGACACAUGAUAAUUCACAUCAUUAUGCUAUGACACAGGAUAAAAUCCACCCCUGGAUGAAUAACGCAUGGUAUCGAUAUAUACAUGACAGCACACCCAGGAAAGAUUGCUAUGUUUGCUCCUACAUGCCCACAACGACACAAUAUGCCACCUUGUACGCGAAGGCAAUGAACAUAACUCAGGCAAAGUGUGCCGCAAGUUAUGCCAGCCUUGGGUAUUAAUACCAGGGAAUUGUGAUCAACCAUGGUGAACCUUUCCAGAUAGGACUACGAAAUGGCACAUGUGACGAAUGGUUCUGGGUUGACCUGAAAGUGAAGCACAGGAGUAAGGCUGGAUCAUUCCCAGUCUUUCUCGAAAACAAUGGGAAUUUGAACCACACCCUAUGCUACCGUCAAGAGAACGGAUCCACGCCAAUGGGAAACACCACCAACUGCAAAGCAGUACAGACACACGCUCCUGGAGGACCAGUGAAGAGCAGCAACAUCUCGAAUGGCACCUAUUGGGUGCAAGGAAUGGCCUGGCUCUGUGGCCAACGAGCCUAUUUUAUCCUUCCUAAGAAUUGGACAGAGAAAAACAGGAAAACGCCUAAGGAACUUGAAGCUAGAAGAUUAUGCCAUAUUCACGAGGACGAAGACGUGCAGAAGAGUUGUCGAAAGGGGAAGCAUGCCUUUGCCCUUGUCAGAGUUAUGAAACUAUACAUUGUGUAAACGAGUGUAUAAAUAAAGAAGGCAGACUACAGCUGGGUGUGAGUCUCACUCAGAGCUCUCACCCAUGUACAUGUCUUAACAAGCUUGUCGUCUCUCUCCUUACUUACUGAAACGAAAUGCUCUUGACACAAAGGAAGAAGAAAGGGGGAAGGUGUGUUAGGAGGCAGCGAGAGAGAAGAAAAGGCAGGAGUUUUGAUGUGAGAGUAGGGACUUUAAGUCUAGAGAGUAUGAUUGUUAAAGAGAUAGAGAGCUGGCUUCUACCAUGGUGUAGAUACGAACAGAAAUGAGUAUUAGGCAUUUAACAUCAUUUAUAUUCUGCUAAAAUUUCAUUUUUAAUAUAAAUGCAAUGUAUUAUGCAUUUAAUAUAAAUGCAUAAUUUAUUGAAGAAAAUAAGAACAAC